GGUGACUCGAUCAGGAG
Molecule: ribosomal RNA, 17 nt
Filed under: Exophiala dermatitidis
Lineage: Eukaryota; Fungi; Ascomycota; Eurotiomycetes; Chaetothyriales; Herpotrichiellaceae
Description: partial 28S ribosomal RNA
Source: RNAcentral